GGAGCCGCGAGCGAGGCGUGAGCGGCUGCAGGGCUGCUGUGUCCGCGAGGUGGAAUUGACGGACCAGGCCAGGAGCAUUUUGAUGGAAUCGUUGGUGGCUGAGUUUCACCUGUUGAAAGGCGUCUGGGAGUGGGCCAUCUCAACUGGGGCGGCUAGGGCAUCGGCACACCGGUUGCCCUCCGCGAUGAACCCCGGUAGGUCAGUGUGUGACCUCACAUGCAUAACAUAGAAGGGUUGUUCUCGGUGGGAGACUAGAUCUG
Long non-coding RNA from Passer domesticus (house sparrow), 260 nucleotides. RefSeq lists it as uncharacterized. The record is from RefSeq and is a predicted model, not a curated record. The transcript has 2 exons. NCBI's taxonomy places the organism in Eukaryota, Metazoa, Chordata, Aves, Passeriformes, Passeridae.